AAAAAGGGAUGGGAAUCGAACCCACAGUGUUCCGCUUACCAGGCAGAUGCCAUGUCCACUAGGCUACCCUGGACAUAUU
Molecule: transfer RNA, 79 nt
Filed under: Cordylochernes scorpioides
Lineage: Eukaryota; Metazoa; Arthropoda; Arachnida; Pseudoscorpiones; Chernetidae
Description: tRNA-Thr
Source: RNAcentral